CAACUGCAAAAGUCCCCAUUUUAUAAGCAUUGUUAUAACUACAAUUAUUUAUUACCAAAUGACUAUCUAGGUGCAAAACCGAACCGUGCUUGAAUACAUUAACUGAGUAUAAUAAAAGUCUCCUUGAUGAAAAUUACCAAAAUUACAUAAAUCUCGACUACGUAGAAAACAACGUGCAAACUUUAUAUUCAGUAAAAAUCAGCCACCAGGGACGAAGUACUUCUUGUCACAUGCAUCAUAAUCAGCUUCGUUGUAAUACGUCACCGCGCAGUACAAUUUGAAUCUUGAAAAAGGAUCAGGCUGAUAACGAACUUGGCGUGAACUAAUAUAGCCAGUAAAAAAACUGUCAUCUGAUUGCUUGAUAAGAUUAUCACUGAGAUUCUUUAUUCUCUUGCCAUUUAUAACUUGGUCAUCACUUCCACUGGGUGGGUAUCGUGAAGAAAAUUUGUAGUCUAACUGCCAUACCGGAUUGUUGAAUUCU
Paramuricea clavata is the source of this 481-nucleotide non-coding RNA. Lineage: Eukaryota; Metazoa; Cnidaria; Anthozoa; Malacalcyonacea; Plexauridae. The record is from the annotation of a GenBank genome assembly.